UGAAAGUAGCCAGGUCAGGUGGUGAGAGCUGCUGUUCAAACAGUGAGUGCUCCGUGUGGAGGACAGGAGAGUCAGGCUCAGGGGCCACAGAGAUAUCCUGCUGAUGCAGGAAUUGUUGCUGCACCCUAGGCUGGUAUGCUGCAGAGCAUGAAGAGUGAGCAGCAGCCCAGUGAUUUUAGUUUCACUUUUGCAGGAGCUGUGAGACGUUUGUGAGUGCCCCGCAGGGGGUCUGAAUCUGCUCGGGAGUGGCAGGCAGGGUCGGUGCGGGGAUGGAAAGCGUUGCCAGCACUGGGCCCAUUGUCGGUGCCGGAGAGACCAGUGCCGAGGAGAGCUUCCUGCUGUGUAACCAGGGAAGAGAUGAGCACUGCCCCAAGUCCCGUCUUCACCUGAGGACAGUUGAGAAGAAACUGAGAAGAGUGCAGGACACGCGCGCUCAGGCAGACCCUAACGAUGCCGCAAGACAGCAGCUGAGCACGUGCGUCCCGACCAGGCACUGCUACUGAAGAUCUAUCAACGGCGCCAGGACGCACCGUCACCUGGAGUGGAGCACGCACAGGGACAGCACUCGAAGAAGUUGUUUCUUUCUAUACCCUGACAAGUUAAUGGUUGGCUUAUUCCUGAAACAGGAGAGAGGUUAUAUCAUAUAUUAUGUUUGUCCUAUCUAAUAUAAGUACAGAUGUUGUCAUCCAUAUACAUGUCUGAUGGCUUUUUAUUCCUAGUAAGCUCUUGGCUUCAACUAUAUCCUGUGGCAAUGAGCUGUACAGGCUAAUUCUGCUUGUGUAAAAAGACUAAAUUUAAAAGGAAACAUAAGUAUGAGUAAAAUGCUGAAUGUAUUAGCUAGCUUAUGCACCAUGCACACUUGCUAAGUGCAAAUGCAUCAAACUGCUAAGUUGUGACAUGACUGUAGUUUCUCAUAAAAGUUUUACUUUGAUUUCCCCCCUCCCCCCCAUCAGCCAUAUUCUCUCUCUAGAGAAGAACACACUUAGCUCCGCGUGACUGCUUUAUAAGGGAUCGAGGGACGUUUUGGUAGUCCAUAACUCCAGAAUAUAUAAUGUAGUCUUUUUUCCCAUUGUUUCUUCAACCAAGAUGACUCUCAAUCUGUAAGAUGAAAGGAUCACUAUGUGGAAGAUUUCUCUGUCCCUGGAAUCCUGAAAUGGGAUCAAUUACUGCCAGAUGUUUCUCAUUUUCAAGGACAAACGUAAUGAGCUGUCAGAUCUUUCUGUUGUGAAAUUAGACUCAUGAGACAAAUUUCUGGCAGGUCACCACAGUGCCAAUCAUGACCACAAGGGAUCACAGAGCAGCAACUGAACUGUAACAAUCCAUUGAGGCUCUUGUGAGUUAAAAAUCUGAGAAUCGCUGGAUGAUGAAAGUUCACUUGAAUUGCUAUGAUAGCUAAGUUAGCAUUUUAACUUCUAGCACUUCUAUUUCAAAGAACACACAUCUCAUGGAAAAACUGAAGGUAAAAUAAUUUUUAAUUAAAAUCAAAACCAACAGCUUACCUUCAAUUUCAUAUGUAAGCAUCAACAACUUGCUUCGUAGUUGCUAAAACAAAUCAAAAUAUAUCUUAGACCAUUAAAGUCACAGGGUUUAUACAAAGGGCACUUUGCUGCCUGAGCACGACUACUGCAGUGCACAGACCCUCCCUCAUAUGUGGGGAACAACCUGCAAGUUAAACUUUGACUAAGAUAAUCAAAAUCAAGUCUCAAUCUGCUACAAAGACAACAUUCAAAAUGUAAAGCAAAUGUAAACCAACGCAGAGAUGUCUGCUGAGUCUGCAGACAGCCUGGAACAUAGCUCUGACAAAAGCUAACUGCUGUUGUAAUAACUAGACCUACCGAUUUACCAUAAUUGUGAAUUCAACUGUCAGAAGUGAGUGAGUGAAAGCUCAUAAAACGUCACAAGCUGUAACAAUAAAUGUUGAUGGGUAAAGGGGCAAAAGUGAGACAAAAAGACUAGGGUAGUUCGAACAAAAAGGCCUUCUGCAUAAUUCAGGAACUGUUUUCAGAUCAUGGCUGGUAAACAUGAGACGUGUGGGGCCUGAAAUCAAUGAACCCAAACUGGUGUGUCAGAAUUCGGCCUAACUGGUGAACAAAAUAAUACGGGGAUGGGCUAUUCCAGCUAUCAAUCCCUUUUGGGGUCCUAAAAAGAGACCACUGGCUAACUGAAAGUUGAGAGCAGGGGAAGGAGUGAGCUCUCUUAUCAUAGGUGCCACCCCCCUGUCUCUUGGGACCGUGGACCUUCUUCAUCCUAAUUCUGAAAGAUGUCCCGACCAGACUGUGCCACAGAGAGGGACUCAGAUGACAUCACCACCUCCACCUCUACCUGAUCCUGCUAAAUCCCAAGCACCACCUGGAAAUGUGAGACUCUGCCUUCCCUCCAUCCCCCAAUCUGUAAUUUUCCUUCCCUACACUAUUUAUUUCUAAUCUUACAUCUCUCUUCUUUUUCCUUGUCUAGUAAGAGUCUGGCUUAGCCAGCCAAUGCUGUAUAUUUUGCAUCCUGUGACCAGAAAAAGGCAGCUAAGUGAAAUGCCCUAAACAGUCUAAGUUUGCCAGGUCUCAGAGUGGUUGAUCAAAUCACGUGCUGCGCCUGUAUUUCUUCAGCAAUGAGGCUGCAAGUGAGAGUUGACACCAGAGACAGACGCUGCAUUUGCUAACUUUGCUGUUUUUUUUUCCUCCCCUUUGGUGUGUUUUGUCUUGUUGUGUCUUCUAGGAAACAGGACUGGACAUUAACAAACAACAACAAAACAGCUCCAGCCAUCAACUAAGUUUUUCUCUUUUCCCCAAAAAGGACAGUUAUUACCAAAUAAGAGACUACCAAACAAGGAGUUUUUUCCUCCAAGAGAUUCUCUAAAGGGAAAGGGAAGUUGUUAAAAUGAAAGCCUCACUUAACUCUUUACAUUUAAGAUGCUUAAACUGUUUCUCUCUCUUCUGUAUCUUUAAUAAAAGGUUAAAAAGGA
Chrysemys picta bellii (western painted turtle) is the source of this 2956-nucleotide non-coding RNA. The record is from RefSeq and is a predicted model, not a curated record. NCBI's taxonomy places the organism in Eukaryota, Metazoa, Chordata, Testudines, Emydidae.